GAUCCAGUCGUUGGCUUAGUGGUUAAAGCGUCUGCCUCUGAUGUGGGAGGUCGCUUGUUCAAACCCCGGUUGAGUCA
Molecule: non-coding RNA, 77 nt
Organism: Potamilus streckersoni
Lineage: Eukaryota; Metazoa; Mollusca; Bivalvia; Unionida; Unionidae
Source: the annotation of a GenBank genome assembly